Molecule: ribosomal RNA, 247 nt
Filed under: uncultured bacterium
Lineage: Bacteria
Description: partial 16S ribosomal RNA
Rfam family: Bacterial small subunit ribosomal RNA
Source: RNAcentral
UACGUGAGGGGCGAACGUUGUUCGGUGUCACUGGGCUUAAAGGGUGCGUAGGUGGUUGCGUAAGUAAGGUGUGAAAUCCCUCGGCUUACCCGGGGAAUUGCAUUUUAUACUGCGUGGCUUGAGGACUAAAGGGGAAAAGGGAAGCUCCAGGUGUAGCGGUGAAAUGCGCAGAUAUCUGGGGGAAGGCCGGCGGCGAAGGCGCUUUUCUGGUUAGUACCUGACACUGAGGCACGAAAGCGUGGGAGCA